Molecule: unclassified non-coding RNA, 1786 nt
Filed under: uncultured fungus
Lineage: Eukaryota; Fungi
Description: sequence contains 18S rRNA gene, ITS1, 5.8S rRNA gene, ITS2, 28S rRNA gene
Rfam family: Eukaryotic large subunit ribosomal RNA (bases 788-1786)
Source: RNAcentral
GGAAGGAUCAUUAACAAAUAUUCCAACACUCGUGUUGGGCAUCACACAUCAUUAUCAUCAUUCGUUCGUUUCGUUUGAUGCUUUUGCGUGCGUGUUGCCCGUUAAACACAAAUAACACAACACAUACAUUCAUACUUGACAUCUAAUGGAUUUCCAAAUGUUUAAAUUAAAAACAACUUUUAACAAUGGAUCUCUCGGCUCUUGCAACGAUGAAGAACGCAGCAAACUGCGAAACGUGAUGUGAACUGCAUUUUUCGUGAAUCAUCCAAUCUUUGAACGCAACUUGCACCUUGCUACUUUUGUCGCAAGGUAUACUGUUUGAGUAUCCAAUACACCAUUACCCGGUCCUCGGUUUCAGUGAUGAUAUCGAGAAACACGUGGUAGACUUGAGCCUUGUCUCCGUACGAUACGAACGGAUAGGACAUUGCUUUAAAUGAGUCUUGGUCGUCUCUGACUUGCAGGUGCCGCCAUGUGCGCGCAACUGCACUUCAUGUGACUAUGACGUUUGCUUGCCCUCCAGCGGCACACAGCGACCAUUGGGAUAGCAUCCUAACAAUCGUCGCCGUGAGCAAAGCUGUUGAGCAGCCAUUUCUCCUUGUUCUCAUGAUAUAUUAAUAUAUUAUGUAACUUGAAUGUGAAUGGUUUAUGCGCGUCCACUCGGCCAUUCUUGAACACGGUGGUGAUCGUUGUUAACAACGAACGCAACACGGUUCAUGCAUUCCUCUCGUUUUGUUCUCUCCCUGAGAGAGAAGAGAGCAUAACAGAGAAGGAUGUGGUAACUCAAAAUGGAUCUCAAAUCAAGUAAGGAUACCCGCUGAACUUAAGCAUAUCAGUAAGCGGAGGAAAAGAAACUAACCAGGAUUCCUUGAGUAACGGCGAGUGAAACGGGAACAGCUCAAAUUUGAAAUCUGGCAUCCAGUAGGAUGUCCGAAUUGUCAUUGAGAGGGUCUGUUUUGGGUGAACGGCAGCAUGUGGUCCAAGUUCUCUGGAAAGGGACAACAAAGAGGGUGACAUUCCCGUCUAGGCCGCGCUUCGUUUAUCCGUAAGAGAAACAGAUCCAACGAGUCGGAUUGUUUGGGAUUGCAAUCCAAAAUGGGUGGUACAUUUCAUCUAAAGCUAAAUAUAGGCAAGAGACCGAUAGCGAACAAGUACCGUGAGGGAAAGAUGAAAAGAACUUUGAAAAGAGAGUUAAAUAGUACGUGAAAUUGUUAAAAGGGAAACGAUUGAGACCAGUGAUGCAGUUCGGUCGCCAAAGUACAAUGAAUCAAAAUUGGACGGAGGACAACGGCCGAACAGCGAGUCGACAUUCCUUUGUGACCGUCUGUAAACAACUGAUAGAAAAGUGGCUCCACUUUCGGGUGGUUGCUCUAUAGUCUAUCAGGAAUGCAUGACCGGUGUGAGAGGUGACCAGGUGCAUACGUACCCGUACUUUAAUCAGUACAUGUCGACGAAAUGGUCUUAAACGACCCGUCUUGAAACACGGACCAAGGAGUCCAACAACUGUGCGAGUAUUUGAGUGGCAAACUCGAAUGCGUAAAGAAAAUGAACGCGUGGGACUGACCAGUUCAAAAGACUGAUCAAGCACCAUGGGCCGGUCCUUGUCUCUGACUUGGAUUGCGCUAGAGCAUGACUGUUGGGACCCGAAAGAUGGUGAACUAUGCCUGAAUAGGGUGAAGCCAGGGGAAACUCUGGUGGAGGCUCGUAGACAUUCUGACGUGCAAAUCGAUGUUCAAAUUUGGGUAUAGGGGCGAAAGACUAAUCGAACCAUCUAGUAGCUGGUUCCCUC